RNAcentral lists this long non-coding RNA (378 nucleotides) under Sorghum bicolor (sorghum). RNAcentral describes it as "long non-coding RNA (SBIC_LNC014294)". Lineage: Eukaryota; Viridiplantae; Streptophyta; Magnoliopsida; Poales; Poaceae. The record is from RNAcentral.
AUACAAGGAAUCUCUGAGUUUUAUUUGAAAAUCUAAAAAAACUCCAGAGCUAUAGUUGAUCAAAGAACAAGAGACAUGGCGCUUGACUAGACUGUUCUAUCUUUUAACUGCUCAAGACACAAGUGACGGUUGCAAGCCCCAUGGUGAAAGGUAAAAUGAGUAAGUUUUAAGUCUUAACAGUUUACUCUAACUCAGAGAUGAGAUCUUGCUUGAACGCAUGUGUACUUUUAAGGCAUGAAACCACUGCAGAAACUUUUGAGUCUAUCCUUGCUCAGGGACGAGCAAGAGGUAAGCUUGGGGGAGUUUGUUGAUGGUCCUUAAGUACCAAAUAUAAUCAUCAAAUAAAUAAAGAAAAGGAUCCAAAUGCAACCAACACCC